Molecule: ribosomal RNA, 284 nt
Filed under: uncultured bacterium
Lineage: Bacteria
Description: partial 16S ribosomal RNA
Rfam family: Bacterial small subunit ribosomal RNA
Source: RNAcentral
GAUGAACGCUAGCGGCAGGCUUAACACAUGCAAGUCGAGGGGCAGCGAGGGUAGCAAUACCUGUCGGCGACCGGCGCAAGGGUGCGUAACGCGUGAGCAACAUGCCCGUAUCAGGGGGAUAAUCCAGGGAAACUUGGUCUAAUACCCCAUAGUAAUGUUUUCAGGCAUCUGGAGAUAUUUAAAGCUUUGGUGGAUACGGAUUGGCUCGCGUGACAUUAGUUAGAUGGUAGGGUAACGGCUUACCAUGACUAUGAUGUCUAGGGGUUCUGAGAGGAAGGUCCCCC